This is a long non-coding RNA of Sapajus apella (tufted capuchin), 3429 nucleotides long. RefSeq lists it as uncharacterized. Lineage: Eukaryota; Metazoa; Chordata; Mammalia; Primates; Cebidae. The transcript has 3 exons. The record is from RefSeq and is a predicted model, not a curated record.
UGUAUGUAUCCAGGAAUUUAGCCAUUUCCUCUAGGUUUCCUUCUGUGUUCUGUAUCUGAUUUCUAAUGAGAAUAGAUAUAUUACAGUAUCUAAAUGUUUUAAAAUUUAAUAAUUUUAAGACUAAUAUAGGAGAUAGGAAUAGGGAAACAAAGUUUGGCUGGCAGCAUGAUUGAUGAUGGUUGAAUUUUUGGUGAGGAAAUAGACCCCUGGCCUUGAUCUAGAUGGAGGAAGAGUAAGACAAAGAGCACUAUAUUGGUUGCCGAAUAAAACAAGGAGCAUUUAAAUUUGUCACGGUAACUUAAGAAGCAAAGAGUGAGAGGGCUCUGGAUGAACGGGAAGCAGGGUCAGCUGCAUGGAAGGCUGUAGGAGGCAGGGGUCAACCAGUGAGAUGCUUCCCAGGGGAAAAUGGCCGGGAGGCUUCUAGGAUCAGGAGUGUCAAAUAUGAACUAAUAGGCAGUGUUCUGUCAUGUGCUCCUUUACCUCUGACUCCUUAGUAAAUUUUAUUAAAACUAUCGAAAGAUGGUAGUUUUAUCAAAAUUAAAGUUGUUUGAGAACUUUAAAAUAGUCGAUGAACAGUUGUAAUCAUGGAAAAGCAUCCAUGUUUCCACAUUUGAUUUGAUGCAGACCGGAGAGAAACAGCAGAUGCAAGCAUUGAGAAUCCAAGUGAAAGACAGUUAAACAGAAGGAGGAUAUUAGAAGAGGGAGUAACUAUGAGAAAUGGAAAGUCCCUGAGAUUCCUGAGAAAUGCAGGGAGUUGACUAAGUGAGGGAUGGGGAAUAAACUCAUUUUUAUUUUAACAUUAAAGAGAAGAGUGCUCUCAUAAGAUGGAAGACUUGGAAACACCCACACAGCAGAUUCUUGGGUUGCACUAGCAAAUACAUCUGACGCUUUUUCAAAUGGCAGCUUCUCCUGACUUGUUACUGACAAGUUGAGCAAUGUCUUCAACUUUAUGGUGUAAACGGAACUGGGAAUCCUGCCUAUGACAUCCAACAUCCUCAUGUCAUGGGAGGAUCAUGGUAAAGUUAUUCUCAGCACCCAAAAUUCUACAUAGGAAAAUGAUUAUAUGGGUAAGGCAUAUUCAAAAUAAUCUGGUUUUAGUGCCCAAGCCCACAAAGCUGUGUUGUAUAAAAUAUUGCUUCCUUUAAAAUGAUGGUCUUGAGAAAACAACAUCAAACAGAACUUUUUGAGAUCAAGAACAGGAAAUGAAUGAUUCAGCAGGCUGGAUAUCACCCAAGGAGCUGUCUUCACAGCUGUAAGGAAUAGCUGUGAAAGGUUCCAGGGGACUUGCCUGGUACCAUUUGAAGGCAGUCAGGCUGGGAACCAGAGAGAGCUCCACAGAGUGUGGUGAAGAGCAGUUGGAGAGCCAAGCUUCAACCCCUCAGAAAUAUGUCAUCCUGGUGCCACUCUUUCUUGUCUUCUAACUGCCUCUGAAUCCACAUUUGGAGAUGUUCCAUGGUGACUCAGGACUUGAGAGAAAGCAAGCAUCAUCCAUGGCAGGAAAGUCAAGGUGUUUGUUCUGCUCUGAGAGACUGAAAGGAUGAUUUAUCAUGGAAGCUGACAUUGCUGUACUGUUUUCCAAAAUCUAAUAUAGUUCUGGUUAUCUGGAAAGGACUGCCUUUGGGCAAAGCUGGGGUGAGAGUGCAGUUAGUGCUGAUUCAUUUGUGUGAUCUCUCUCUCUCUCUCUCUCAUAUCUUAAACUACAAUUAGCAAACAACCAGAUUUUGGCUGCUAUCAUCUUAUGUCUGCCCAGUGAUUCUUGCCUGUACAACACUGCUGACUCUGUGGAGUACAUUUUGGAGGAAAUAGCCCAGGCAUUAAGAUUUGAGACCUGACUUUGGAAAAGAGUAGAAGCCCUCAAGUGCAUCUUCUUGAACACAUGGUGCCUUCCUUUAGCAGAAGAGCAAAACCCAUCUACCUCCUUGAUUGCUCCAGCAUGGGGCAGCUAGCCUUCAUUUGGCAUUUGUCAGCAACCAAGAAUGGGCCUUCAGAUUGAAGAGAUAUCCCCAAUAUAUCAUAAAUUUACUUCAGCAUUUGAAGAAGUCAUUAUUCCUCACAUUCCUUUGAGGAAAAUAGUUUGAAAGUCCAAAAGCAAGUCUGCAAAGUCAUGACAUGGUGAAUGUCUUCAGAGUCUUCCCUACUGUAGGGAAAGAGCUGAGGAAUAGAGCGGAUACCAGCACUGCCAUUGCUAGGACUGAAACUAUGAAAGAGACAGAAGGAAUCUUCUAGGAAACAUGGCAUGAGGCACGUGCUGCUACAUUGAUCCAGUUUGCACUGGACGAGAUGCUCAUGACUUCUCCUGGUUCUCAGACUCCUUGAAUUGGAUGGGGCAUGAUGGUUACACACUGAGGGCACAGUCUUCACUGCCUGAGUUUCACAUUGUUCAGAGGGGCCUUUUAAUUCUUCCCAGGGACACGUUUUCUUGAGUCUUCAUCACUAAAUUUUCUGGGCAGACGGAAUAGCAGAAAAAGCACUUAGGUGGGAAAACAUUUGGUGCAUUUGAGGAACUAAAAGAAGGCCAGUAGUUGUGGAAAAUGAGAAAUAUAUGUUAGAGUAGCGGCAAGUGAAACCACAGAGGUCGAGAGGGCCAAGCUUAGCAAAUCCCUGCAGGUGGCGAUGAGAUGCAUUUCUCUAGUUGCGAUGAGAUUUUUACUUUUUAACAAUCCAAUUAAUCAAGUAAACAACAAAGCUUAAGCAAUAGAGCAUGACUAAUAGUGUCAAACACCUUUCUGUGCCUCUCAUUGUUACUACUCCCACCCCUCCCCAGCUAAGUUUCCACUACGUAUUGUGAAAUGUAUAUUUACGAAUCAAUUGCUUUUGGUGUGGUUUUGUCUCGUAAGAAUGCUUUCCCAAACACACAUAUUGUGAUGUUUCAUACAAUUUUGACUUUUAUGGACAUAGAACAGUUCUACCUGUCUUCUUUGGCAACUGUAUCGAUGUCUCAACUUUGAUUUUCCUGAUUCACCCAUGUAAAUGUGUGCCAGUGUAAUUUUGCUAUGUAUAGUAUUCUAUCGCACGGCUAUACCUAUAGACAGCAGCUGUCUCCAGUUAUUAUUGUAACAAAUGCUGGUGCUAUGGACCUCUUUGUACAGGUCAUAUUGGGUAUGCCUGCGAGCACUUUUCUGGGACACAAAAAUAAGAGUAAAUUCGCUGAGCCAUAUCUUAUGCAUAUCUCCAAAUUUAAGAGAAAAUACCCAAUUGUUUUCCAAAAUAGUUGAACCAAUUUACAUUAUCAGCAAUAGAGUAUGAAUCCUCAUCUUUCUACAUGCUCACAAAAUGUUUUUAUUUUUUUAAAUUCGCCAGUCUUUUGAGUGUAAGAAUGUAUCUCAUGACUUUAAUUUGCCUUUGGUUCAUUAUUAACAAAAUUGAGCGUCAUGUCAUUUGUUAAUUUGUUUUCAUGUUUGUUUUCUAAUGAGUUGCCUAUUUGUAUUU